AUCGCUUCUCGGCCUUUUGGCUAAGAUCAAGUGUAAUAAAUGCAUUAAUAUUAAAUUACAAAAUGAGCAGAGUAGAAAAACUCACU
This is a small nuclear RNA of Rattus norvegicus (Norway rat), 86 nucleotides long. Ensembl annotates it as U2 spliceosomal RNA. The record is from Ensembl. NCBI's taxonomy places the organism in Eukaryota, Metazoa, Chordata, Mammalia, Rodentia, Muridae.